UACGAUCGAUCUGUCAGAUUUGAUCGUCUCCUACCUCCCUUCCUCUUACGAUUUGAUCGUCUCCUACCUCUCUUCCUCUUACGAUUUGAUCGGUGGUCUCCAGCCUCUUCUCCUCCUGUGGCUCCUACGAUCUGGUCUAUUGUCUUCUCCUCCUACGAUUUGGAUAUUUUAUUUUCCAUUUAGGUUAUGAACUUAUGAUAUUUUCUAUUGCUGAUCUAUGCCACUAUUGAUUUUCUAUUCCUCUAUUUAGGUUUUAUUUGGGUGUUUGAUUUGUUGAUUUUCCAUUCAGGUUUGAUGGAGAGUAAGGAGAAAAACCAGAGAGAUAGUGCAAUGGGUAGAUACGAAGCUUGUACGUAUACAAGCUAGUCUUGAAUUGUUGUCGGAUCAUUUCUUCUACCUUAUCGAUUUUUGGAUUAUUUAUUCAAUUCAUUUCAGCCUUGCUCUCUUGAGAAGAUCAACAAACUAAGAUUGUGCCCGAUAUUAAUUAAACAAUCCUCUCUUUAUUCUUUCAACUAAUGACAGAACUAUCAAAUUGUGGAAGGUGUUCUUCUGCUCAAGCCAUUUUUUACUAACAUUUUACUAACAAUUCAGGUUUGAUUUCUAUAUUUUCAGGUUCUAUUUCCGUCUGAUAGCACACUGCAUCGAUACGAUCUUCCAUUUUCCCUCCAAUUUUUGAAUCCGUUCGUCUCUAACGAACUGGAAAACUUUGGGCUUGGUGUGGGAGCAUAAAUUGAAUCCGUCUGAGACCUAAUAUUCAUUUGAAUUAAGUGAGUUAUCAUCUAUCUAGCCAUGUUGAUUAAUCCAUAUAAAUUUUUAGAAUCAAUUUCAAGUGAGAUCUUACUAUUUGAAAAUUAGUAAAAACUUUAAUCAUAAGCUUUCAUAUUUCCCUCCAUAUAUAUUCAACCUCAUUCAUUACUGAAGAUAUGUGUCAUAUUUAAUAUUAAAUGAUUUAAUCGUUGGAUGAAGAUUGAAUGACCAGAUGUGCAAGUUUUUAUUUAGUUCUCAAAUAAUGAGAUCUCAUUUGAAUUUUGCCCUAAAUUUUUAACAUGAUAUUGUACACCCUUCAACGACCAUCGAGCAUGGUUAAACUCAUUGUAUUAUUUGUGAACCACAAAUGACUAUGUCCGACGCCAGAACUAUCACUGCAAAAUGCAGGUCUCUUUGCUUCUUUUAAAUGUAAAUUUUCAUUACCCAACAUGAAAAGCACGUCUGACAUUGUGGGUCGAUCGAUCGCUUUUUCUUGCACACAUAACAAUCCAAUCUGAAUAAAACGCAAUACUUGAGGAAUUGAACAUGAGUUGCUCAAACAUUCAUCAAGUACUAUCAAACUUUUCCCUUCUUUGUAGAGUGUCCAAAUCUGCAGAAAUUUUGGUUAAAACCUUUGAAAAGUCACUCAUAAUUUAUGUAAUAUUCUUACCAUUUCCAGAAGAUAUACAUCUGGUUCAUAGUAUAUACGACUUUUCUUCCCACUAAUGAUUUCUAACAACAAUACUCCAAAGCUGAAGACAUCCGAUUUUAUAGAGAAUAUUCCACCAUUAGCAUACUCAGGAGACAUGUAUCCACUACAUCAAAAGAACAUUAAUCAUUGUGAUCAAUAGUGUGUAUCAAUCAAAAGAGUAUAUUGUAUGAUACCACAUACAUUGUUCCAAUAAUUCUUCCUGUGUUCUCUUGUAGUUGCUCUGCUACAAAUAGCCUGGCUGUGCCAAAGUCAGAUAUUUUUGGAUCCAUCAAAUUAUCAAGAAGAAC
Molecule: long non-coding RNA, 1746 nt
Filed under: Zostera marina
Lineage: Eukaryota; Viridiplantae; Streptophyta; Magnoliopsida; Alismatales; Zosteraceae
Description: long non-coding RNA (ZMAR_LNC002708)
Source: RNAcentral